This 297-nucleotide long non-coding RNA is filed under the name Nicotiana benthamiana. Its description in RNAcentral is "long non-coding RNA (NBEN_LNC027691)". Lineage: Eukaryota; Viridiplantae; Streptophyta; Magnoliopsida; Solanales; Solanaceae. The record is from RNAcentral.
CCCACUUCGUUCAUCCUCUUCUCAUCUCUCAUCCAAGGCUUUCAAACCCUACUUCCGCCAUUUUCAUGAGAGGAAAAGCUUCAGUCACCCCUAAAUCUCAUCCACGCGACCAUCAUCCCUCCCUCAACCCUAAUCCAUCAUCAUUUAGCCCAAAACCUCACCAAAUCGGUCUUUUCGAGUCUGGGAGUGAAGAAGAAGAAUCCGCCAAGCUUGACAGCUUCCUUUGAGCGAUAGGGCUCAAAACCAGUAUUGGCCAUGUGUUUUCGUUGAGAACACCCGAUUAAUAUUUGUUUCGAC